GACGAACCGUGCGAACGUUGUUCGGAAUCACUGGGCUUAAAGGGCGCGUAGGCGGCUCCGCAAGUCGGGGGUGAAAUCUUUCGGCUUAACCGGAAAAGUGCCUCUGAUACUGCGGAGCUCGAGGGAGGUAGGGGCGGACGGAACUUCCGGUGGAGCGGUGAAAUGCGUUGAUAUCGGAAGGAACGCCGGUGGCGAAAGCGGUCCGCUGGCCCUCUACUGACGCUGAGGCGCGAAAGCCAGGGGAGCAAACAGG
Molecule: ribosomal RNA, 253 nt
Filed under: uncultured bacterium
Lineage: Bacteria
Description: partial 16S ribosomal RNA
Rfam family: Bacterial small subunit ribosomal RNA
Source: RNAcentral